CAGUCGCCGCGGGAAUACGUAGGUGGCAAGCGUUGUCCGGAAUUAUUGGGCGUAAAGGGCUCGCAGGCGGUUUCUUAAGUCUGAUGUGAAAGCCCCCGGCUCAACCGGGGAGGGUCAUUGGAAACUGGGAAACUUGAGUGCAGAAGAGGAGAGUGGAAUUCCACGUGUAGCGGUGAGAUGCGUAGAGAUGUGGAGGAACACCAGUUGCGAAGGCGACUCUCUGGUCUGUAACUGACGCUGAGGAGCGAAAGCGUGGGGAGCGAACAGGAUUAGAUACCCCCGUAGUCCCUGUCUCUUAUAA
Molecule: ribosomal RNA, 301 nt
Filed under: uncultured bacterium
Lineage: Bacteria
Description: partial 16S ribosomal RNA
Rfam family: Bacterial small subunit ribosomal RNA
Source: RNAcentral